UAAUACAUGCAAGUCGAGCGAAUCGAUGGGAGCUUGCUCCCUGAGAUUAGCGGCGGACGGGUGAGUAACACGUGGGCAACCUGCCUAUAAGACUGGGAUAACUUCGGGAAACCGGAGCUAAUACCGGAUACGUUCUUUUCUCGCAUGAGAGAAGAUGGAAAGACGGUUUCGGCUGUCACUUAUAGAUGGGCCCGCGGCGCAUUAGCUAGUUGGUGAGGUAAUGGCUCACCAAGGCGACGAUGCGUAGCCGACCUGAGAGGGUGAUCGGCCACACUGGGACUGAGACACGGCCCAGACUCCUACGGGAGGCAGCAGUAGGGAAUCUUCCGCAAUGGACGAAAGUCUGACGGAGCAACGCCGCGUGAACGAAGAAGGCCUUCGGGUCGUAAAGUUCUGUUGUUAGGGAAGAACAAGUACCAGAGUAACUGCUGGUACCUUGACGGUACCUAACCAGAAAGCCACGGCUAACUACGUGCCAGCAGCCGCGGUAAUACGUAGGUGGCAAGCGUUGUCCGGAAUUAUUGGGCGUAAAGCGCGCGCAGGUGGUUCCUUAAGUCUGAUGUGAAAGCCCACGGCUCAACCGUGGAGGGUCAUUGGAAACUGGGGAACUUGAGUNCNGAAGAGGAAAGUGGAAUUCCAAGUGUAGCGGUGAAAUGCGUAGAGAUUUGGAGGAACACCAGUGGCGAAGGCGACUUUCUGGUCUGUAACUGACACUGAGGCGCGAAAGCGUGGGGAGCAAACAGGAUUAGAUAC
Molecule: ribosomal RNA, 753 nt
Filed under: Bacillus sp. LKS-115B
Lineage: Bacteria; Bacillati; Bacillota; Bacilli; Caryophanales; Bacillaceae
Description: bacterial SSU rRNA
Rfam family: Bacterial small subunit ribosomal RNA
Source: RNAcentral